GCCCCUCUGCAAUCAUGAGGCCCCACCUGGAGUACUGAGUCCAGCUCUGGGGUUCUCAGCACAAGAAAGACAUGGAUCUGUUGGAGCAAUCCAGAGGAGGCAACCAAGAUGAUUAGAGUGAUGGAGCACCUCCCCUAUGAGCAAAGGCUGAGAGAAUUGGGAUUGUUCAGCCUGGAGAAGAGAAGGCUUUGGAGUGACCUACCUGUGGCCUUCCAAUACCUGGAUGGAGCCUACAAGAACGAUGGAGAAGGACUUUUUACAACAGCCUGUAGUGACAGGAUAAGGUGGAAUAGAUUCAAACUGAAAGGCAGUAGGUUCAGUUUAGAUAGUAGGAGGAAGAUCUUUGCUUUGUGAGAGUGGUGAGGCACUGGCAC
Molecule: non-coding RNA, 374 nt
Organism: Sturnus vulgaris (Common starling)
Lineage: Eukaryota; Metazoa; Chordata; Aves; Passeriformes; Sturnidae
Source: RefSeq, a predicted model, not a curated record